This is a non-coding RNA of Providencia rettgeri DSM 1131, 195 nucleotides long. Lineage: Bacteria; Pseudomonadati; Pseudomonadota; Gammaproteobacteria; Enterobacterales; Morganellaceae. The record is from Rfam.
GAUGGACAUCAGCGAUUCAUUUUGUGAACCUUGACCCACCGCGAGAUAGGCGUUCAUUCCUAACUCUUUCAUUUGCUCUUCACCAAUGACUCGAGUGGUGAGUUUGCUGUCUGAAAUAUCUGCUAAUUGACGUGCUUGAGACGCUAAAUAACCUGCGUUACAGAUAUUUGGUGGCAUAUUACUUAAAUCUUUUGC